CAAGGUGUAGUGCAGUCUGAUCAGCGCAUCUGUCUAGGGUACAGAGGGCCAUAGGUUCGAAUCCUGUCACCUUGA
Triticum aestivum (bread wheat) is the source of this 75-nucleotide non-coding RNA. NCBI's taxonomy places the organism in Eukaryota, Viridiplantae, Streptophyta, Magnoliopsida, Poales, Poaceae. The record is from Rfam.